RNAcentral lists this long non-coding RNA (336 nucleotides) under Gossypium barbadense (sea-island cotton). RNAcentral's name for it is "long non-coding RNA (GBAR_LNC010992)". The record is from RNAcentral. Lineage: Eukaryota; Viridiplantae; Streptophyta; Magnoliopsida; Malvales; Malvaceae.
AUGCACUGUCCCAAGGGCCUUCAAUGCCCAUCAGUGCCCCGAUCAUCGGUCGUCCCUCUGUCUGGCCCCAAAUCACGCCACGAACAGCACGACCAUUGUCGAGAUCUUCGGGGUACCUACAAAAUGGAAAAUGAAACACAGUAGAUGCGAAAAAUCAGAGGCAGAAAAAGGAAACUAAGAUAAAGGAAUCUCAGCAGAUCACGGUCAGAGAUACGGUGGACACAAUAGACAAGAAAUGGAAAGAAAUCGAAGAUUUCUUUCCCAACUUAUGAAUGAAAUACUGGCUAUAAAGCCAUCUUUUGUAACCUGUAAAUGGAUCCAGACAGUUGAUGAAAA